GACGAACGCUGGCGGCGUGCCUAAUACAUGCAAGUUGAGCGAUGAAGAUUGGUGCUUGCACCAAUUUGAAGAGCAGCGAACGGGUGAGUAACGCGUGGGGAAUCUGCCUUUGAGCGGGGGACAACAUUUGGAAACGAAUGCUAAUACCGCAUAACAACUUUAAACAUAAGUUUUAAGUUUGAAAGAUGCAAUUGCAUCACUCAAAGAUGAUCCCGCGUUGUAUUAGCUAGUUGGUGAGGUAAAGGCUCACCAAGGCGAUGAUACAUAGCCGACCUGAGAGGGUGAUCGGCCACAUUGGGACGGAGACACGGCCCAAACUCCUACGGGAGGCAGCAGUAGGGAAUCUUCGGCAAUGGAAGAAAGUCUGACCGAGCAACGCCGCGUGAGUGAAGAAGGUUUUCGGAUCGUAAAACUCUGUUGGUAGAGAAGAACGUUGGUGAGAGUGGAAAGCUCAUCAAGUGACGGUAACUACCCAGAAAGGGACGGCUAACUACGUG
Molecule: ribosomal RNA, 497 nt
Filed under: uncultured bacterium
Lineage: Bacteria
Description: partial 16S ribosomal RNA
Rfam family: Bacterial small subunit ribosomal RNA
Source: RNAcentral